CUCAAAAUGUAUAAUUCAAUUUACAAUCUGCAAAGGAGUGGAAAAAGUGGAAAUCAGGAUUAAUUCAAUUAAAUUCAAGUUUAUUUGUGUAGCUUUUCAUGAUACAAAUAGUUGCAAAGCAGCUUUCCAGAAAAUGUUAAGUUUCUUAGUUAUAUUUAGGAGUAGGUUAUUAGUGGUGACUAUGACAGAAAUGAACAGUAAAAAUCAUGCCGUUAGUUACAAAUGACACGUAAUCAAUCAGACAGUGAACACUGCAAUGAUUAUAUGUUGCGAUUAAACUUUGUGAUUGCGAUUAAGCUCAAUUUAAGCAAUAUUUGCUAGAUUAGGCAUAAAAUAAUGUCUUCAGAAUUAUUCAUACAUGUGAAAAUAAUGAGAAUUGACCAAAUAGUUGUAAACAGGCUCAGAUUCAGAAUCAUGUCUUUGUGUCAGUUUUUCUGCUGAUUAAAAGAUUAUACAAGACUUCUUGCUAUGAAAUGCAUCAUAUUUUAUGAGAAAGUGUGACGUGCUCGAGCAAAACAGAAACAAGUGUUGGAUUUCAUUCAGCAAAUCUGAUGCAGUGUAUUUGGAAAGUUCCAAACAUGCAAGAAAGAAGUGCUGUGUUUGUCUGCAGCUCAGGCAGAGUGCCGAGGGGACAGAAGUGAGCGACGGCUCUGACAGAGAGGAAGUGGAAUCCAUUGGCAAGACGCUUUUCAAUGUUGUGCAUCAGUUAGACCCCACCCACUGCGCUGACAUCACCGGAAUGCUGAAACAGAUUCUGUCCGAACGGAGCAUCCUGGAAGUUGCAGUUCAGAGAGCAAAAAGUGCACUGGUACUUUAACCAAAUGUACACACACUCCCAAGGCUUUAUUGUAAUUUGUGUACUUGCUGACAAAGUAUGCAUUUGCGCAAGCUUUUUAAACUAAUAUUCCUCACUUUUAGCUACAGAGGAGCAAUGAACAACACUUUAAAUAAAUGUUUUUCUCUGUCCACAGGAGGGCUUGCUGAGCCCAACACACUCAGAAAUGUCAGAAUGAGGCUUGGAAUCUCUGCAGACUAUUUAAAGCCUGAAUUGCUGUGCAUUUUACUUGCAUCAUUCAAGACAUUGUUUACAUGGACUUCCUUUUUAGGAUUUUUGACACAUUUAUUGAUAUAAAUGAGGAGGAAAAGGAGAGGAAAAGAUUGUGAAGAAAAAAGGUGGAAUUGCAUCAGGCUGGAUUUGAACCUGCUUUACCUGCAUGAGCACCUCAGCUAAAUGCGUCUAGAGCAUGUGCAUUAACCACUAGGUCAUGGCUUUUGCAUUCCAGAUGCGGCCGCACAUUUACAUAUAAUGUAAAUAUGUUUGUAAAUAAAGAAUGCAAAGUUUCUCUCUGUAGUUUUUUAUGAGAUUUAUGUAAAUUCUAAAAAU
This 1384-nucleotide long non-coding RNA is filed under the name Sinocyclocheilus grahami. RNAcentral's name for it is "lncRNA (ENSSGRG00000045148.1)". The record is from RNAcentral. Lineage: Eukaryota; Metazoa; Chordata; Actinopteri; Cypriniformes; Cyprinidae.